GUGCUCACUGUGGCAGCACAUACAACAAAAACUGAUGUUAUGUAGAUAAGAUGAGCAUGGCCCCUGAGCAAAGAUGAUGUACAAAUUCACAGAGUUCCAUGUUAAA
Molecule: small nuclear RNA, 106 nt
Organism: Ictidomys tridecemlineatus (thirteen-lined ground squirrel)
Lineage: Eukaryota; Metazoa; Chordata; Mammalia; Rodentia; Sciuridae
Source: Ensembl